GUGGGGAAUCUUGCGCAAUGGGCGAAAGCCUGACGCAGCCAUGCCGCGUGAAUGAUGAAGGUCUUAGGAUUGUAAAAUUCUUUCACCGGGGACGAUAAUGACGGUACCCGGAGAAGAAGCCCCGGCUAACUUCGUGCCAGCAGCCGCGGUAAUACGAAGGGGGCUAGCGUUGUUCGGAAUUACUGGGCGUAAAGGGCGCGUAGGCGGACAGUUUAGUCAGAGGUGAAAGCCCAGGGCUCAACCUUGGAAUUGCCUUUGAUACUGGCUGUCUUGAGUACGGGAGAGGUGAGUGGAACUCCGAGUGUAGAGGUGAAAUUCGUAGAUAUUCGGAAGAACACCAGUGGCGAAGGCGACUCACUGGCCCGUUACUGACGCUGAGGCGCGAAAGCGUGGGGAGCAAACAGGAUUAGAAACCCGGGUAGUCC
RNAcentral lists this ribosomal RNA (425 nucleotides) under uncultured bacterium. Its description in RNAcentral is "partial 16S ribosomal RNA". It matches the Rfam family "Bacterial small subunit ribosomal RNA", at positions 354 to 796 of the family's 1533-position model. The record is from RNAcentral.